UUCCGUUGGUGAACCUGCGGAAGGAUCAUUG
This 31-nucleotide ribosomal RNA is filed under the name Allium fimbriatum var. fimbriatum. RNAcentral's name for it is "partial 18S ribosomal RNA". Lineage: Eukaryota; Viridiplantae; Streptophyta; Magnoliopsida; Asparagales; Amaryllidaceae. The record is from RNAcentral.